This 346-nucleotide ribosomal RNA is filed under the name uncultured bacterium. Its description in RNAcentral is "partial 16S ribosomal RNA". It matches the Rfam family "Bacterial small subunit ribosomal RNA", at positions 338 to 681 of the family's 1533-position model. The record is from RNAcentral.
CCUACGGGCGGCAGCAGUGAGGAAUAUUGGUCAAUGGGCGCGAGCCUGAACCAGCCAAGUAGCGUGAAGGAUGACUGCCCUACGGGUUGUAAACUUCUUUUAUAAAGGAAUAAAGUGAGGCACGUGUGCCGUUUUGUAUGUACUUUAUGAAUAAGGAUCGGCUAACUCCGUGCCAGCAGCCGCGGUAAUACGGAGGAUCCGAGCGUUAUCCGGAUUUAUUGGGUUUAAAGGGAGCGUAGAUGGGUUGUUAAGUCCGUUGUGAAAGUUUGCGGCUCAACCGUAAAAUUGCAAUUGAUACGGGCAGUCUUGCGUACCGUUGAGGUAGGCGGAAUUCUUGGUGUAGCGG